This 570-nucleotide non-coding RNA is filed under the name Alternaria alternata. Its description in RNAcentral is "eukaryotic LSU rRNA". The stretch from base 196 to 349 matches the Rfam family "5.8S ribosomal RNA". The record is from RNAcentral. Lineage: Eukaryota; Fungi; Ascomycota; Dothideomycetes; Pleosporales; Pleosporaceae. RNAcentral also lists the same sequence under 40 other names.
UCCGUAGGUGAACCUGCGGAGGGAUCAUUACACAAAUAUGAAGGCGGGCUGGAACCUCUCGGGGUUACAGCCUUGCUGAAUUAUUCACCCUUGUCUUUUGCGUACUUCUUGUUUCCUUGGUGGGUUCGCCCACCACUAGGACAAACAUAAACCUUUUGUAAUUGCAAUCAGCGUCAGUAACAAAUUAAUAAUUACAACUUUCAACAACGGAUCUCUUGGUUCUGGCAUCGAUGAAGAACGCAGCGAAAUGCGAUAAGUAGUGUGAAUUGCAGAAUUCAGUGAAUCAUCGAAUCUUUGAACGCACAUUGCGCCCUUUGGUAUUCCAAAGGGCAUGCCUGUUCGAGCGUCAUUUGUACCCUCAAGCUUUGCUUGGUGUUGGGCGUCUUGUCUCUAGCUUUGCUGGAGACUCGCCUUAAAGUAAUUGGCAGCCGGCCUACUGGUUUCGGAGCGCAGCACAAGUCGCACUCUCUAUCAGCAAAGGUCUAGCAUCCAUUAAGCCUUUUUUUCAACUUUUGACCUCGGAUCAGGUAGGGAUACCCGCUGAACUUAAGCAUAUCAAUAAGCGGAGGA